This 626-nucleotide ribosomal RNA is filed under the name Salmonella enterica subsp. enterica serovar Typhimurium. Its description in RNAcentral is "partial 23S ribosomal RNA". It matches the Rfam family "Bacterial large subunit ribosomal RNA", at positions 2259 to 2879 of the family's 2925-position model. RNAcentral also lists the same sequence under 2 other names. The record is from RNAcentral. Lineage: Bacteria; Pseudomonadati; Pseudomonadota; Gammaproteobacteria; Enterobacterales; Enterobacteriaceae.
UGGUGGGUAGUUUGACUGGGGCGGUCUCCUCCUAAAGAGUAACGGAGGAGCACGAAGGUUGGCUAAUCCUGGUCGGACAUCAGGAGGUUAGUGCAAUGGCAUAAGCCAGCUUGACUGCGAGCGUGACGGCGCGAGCAGGUGCGAAAGCAGGUCAUAGUGAUCCGGUGGUUCUGAAUGGAAGGGCCAUCGCUCAACGGAUAAAAGGUACUCCGGGGAUAACAGGCUGAUACCGCCCAAGAGUUCAUAUCGACGGCGGUGUUUGGCACCUCGAUGUCGGCUCAUCACAUCCUGGGGCUGAAGUAGGUCCCAAGGGUAUGGCUGUUCGCCAUUUAAAGUGGUACGCGAGCUGGGUUUAGAACGUCGUGAGACAGUUCGGUCCCUAUCUGCCGUGGGCGCUGGAGAACUGAGGGGGGCUGCUCCUAGUACGAGAGGACCGGAGUGGACGCAUCACUGGUGUUCGGGUUGUCAUGCCAAUGGCACUGCCCGGUAGCUAAAUGCGGAAGAGAUAAGUGCUGAAAGCAUCUAAGCACGAAACUUGCCCCGAGAUGAGUUCUCCCUGAGACUUAGAGUCUCCUGAAGGAACGUUGAAGACGACGACGUUGAUAGGCCGGGUGUGUAAGCGCAGC